AAAUAAAGACCAGUAUGAACGGCUAAAUGAGGACAAACCUGUCUCUAAUAACUAAUCAGUGAAACUGAUCUUCCAGUACAAAAGCUGGAAUAUACACAUAAUACGAGAAGACCCCGUGGAGCUUAAAACAAAGUACUAACUAUAAAGCCCUAGUACCCUGUUUUGAGUUGGGGCGACUUCGGAAUAAAACAAAACUUCCGAGCACAAAACCACCAGUUCAAGCCAAGGCCAACAAGCCUAAUCACAAUACGGACCCGGCCCAUGCCGACCAACGAACCAAGUUACCCCGGGGAUAACAGCGCUAUCUUCUUCAAGAGUCCCUAUCAACAUGAAGGUUUACGACCUCGAUGUUGGAUCAUGACACC
This 365-nucleotide ribosomal RNA is filed under the name Trachylepis maculilabris. RNAcentral describes it as "partial 16S ribosomal RNA". It matches the Rfam family "Bacterial large subunit ribosomal RNA", at positions 1978 to 2546 of the family's 2925-position model. Lineage: Eukaryota; Metazoa; Chordata; Lepidosauria; Squamata; Scincidae. The record is from RNAcentral.